AUGAACAUAUGUCGAUCCACUGCUAACUGCAGAAAUCGCUUUGGCUUUGCAGGGAUUCCCUUUGCUGGAGAGAAACGUCCAACCACCAACAUUUCAAUAUCUACACUACUGUGCUAUAUCUGUACUACUACUGUUCCAGCCCUUAUCUGCUGCUGCCUAGUUUUACUGGCACAGUGGCACUGCAAGGAGGAGUUCUUGUUGGACUUGAAACGAUCUAAAGUUGGUUCUGGCCGAAAAGAUUACCCGUCAUGGUGGUAUAGUUCAUCGAUCCAUCUAGUGAUUAUUCACAACGUCCAAAUCCAAGUCAAACAGAUCAGAGCUAGUGUCGCUGCCCCAGCCAUGGUCAUCACCAUCUUCAGCUUUCUCCACUUGAUGGCCAUCACCUAA
RNAcentral lists this ribosomal RNA (387 nucleotides) under Triticum aestivum (bread wheat). Its description in RNAcentral is "partial small subunit ribosomal RNA". Lineage: Eukaryota; Viridiplantae; Streptophyta; Magnoliopsida; Poales; Poaceae. The record is from RNAcentral.